Molecule: long non-coding RNA, 660 nt
Organism: Populus trichocarpa (black cottonwood)
Lineage: Eukaryota; Viridiplantae; Streptophyta; Magnoliopsida; Malpighiales; Salicaceae
Exons: 2
Source: RefSeq, a predicted model, not a curated record
ACACGAAACCUAGGUGUCACAUUCCAUUCCCUUCCCUUCCCUCCAAACUAGCACCUCCAAAUCCAGCAAUGUGGAUAACGAUGAUCAAAAUAAUAUAUGUGAGACGAGCAGUAAAGAUAAUCAAAUGUAAGACAUAAAAGAAAUUCCUCUCCCUCUCUCUCUAAUGCAAACCCUAAAAACAACUCCACCACCACCAAAAUGGCAGCCACAGCCAUUGGAUCUUCUAGAAGUACCUAAAGCGGACCAUCUCUCCGGUCAGUCUCUCCAUCUAGCAGAUUUCAUCAACACCUCUCUAGAUCUUCGACGUCUUACACUCCCCCACCGCCUUUGCUUCCUCAAGUUCUAGUUUCAUCUCUCGCUCAUCAACUUUCUUCACACCAAGUUUGACGGGAAAAUUGAACAGGAAAAGAAGAAUGAUGUGAUUCAAAAGAAGCAAAUUCGAAAGAGAAGCCCCGUGACAAGAAUUCUCAAAUGCUAAAUUAUCGGAAUCAUUCAGCCUACAGUGGAUGUAGUGGAAUGGCUAAAGAGAAGUUUAGUUGGUGUGAUUUUAGAAAAUAACAAGAGAUUCACCACUGGGUUCCAUCAGAUGCUCCUGCGUAUCGAUUUUGUUGGGUGGUUUGGCAGUUCGCCUUCAUUAUCUAAUUAUUCUUCAAACAACAA